GACGAACGCUGGCGGCGCGCCUAACACAUGCAAGUCGAACGAGCGAGAGAGAGCUUGCUUUCUCAAGCGAGUGGCGAACGGGUGAGUAACGCGUGAGGAACCUGCCUCAAAGAGGGGGACAACAGUUGGAAACGACUGCUAAUACCGCAUAAGCCCACGACCCGGCCUCGGGUAGAGGGAAAAGGAGCAAUCCGCUUUGAGAUGGCCUCGCGUCCGAUUAGCUAGUUGGUGAGGUAACGGCCCACCAAGGCGACGAUCGGUAGCCGGACUGAGAGGUUGAACGGCCACAUUGGGACUGAGACACGGCCCAGACUCCUACGGGAGGCAGCAGUGGGGAAUAUUGCACAAUGGGGGAAACCCCGAUGCAGCGACGCCGCGUGGAGGAAGAAGGUCUUCGGAUUGUAAACUCCUGUUGUUGAGGAAGAUAAUGACGGUACUCAACAAGGAAGUGACGGCUAACUACGUG
This 466-nucleotide ribosomal RNA is filed under the name uncultured bacterium. RNAcentral's name for it is "partial 16S ribosomal RNA". It matches the Rfam family "Bacterial small subunit ribosomal RNA", at positions 28 to 507 of the family's 1533-position model. The record is from RNAcentral.